This 253-nucleotide ribosomal RNA is filed under the name uncultured bacterium. Its description in RNAcentral is "partial 16S ribosomal RNA". It matches the Rfam family "Bacterial small subunit ribosomal RNA", at positions 524 to 776 of the family's 1533-position model. The record is from RNAcentral.
UACAGAGGGUGCCAGCGUUGUUCGGAAUUAUUGGGCGUAAAGCGCACGUAGGCGGUUCGUUAAGUCGGAUGUGAAAGCCCUCGGCUCAACUGAGGAAGUGCACCCGAAACUGGCGAGCUUGAGUACGAAAGAGGAUCGCGGAAUUCCCGGUGUAGAGGUGAAAUUCGUAGAUAUCGGGAGGAACACCGGUGGCGAAGGCGGCGAUCUGGGUCGAUACUGACGCUGAGGUGCGAAAGCGUGGGGAGCAAACAGG